GUGGGGAAUUUUGGACAAUGGGCGCAAGCCUGAUCCAGCAAUGCCGCGUGCAGGAAGAAGGCCUUCGGGUUGUAAACUGCUUUUGUACGGAACGAAACGGCUCUGGUUAAUACCCGGGGCUAAUGACGGUACCGUAAGAAUAAGCACCGGCUAACUACGUGCCAGCAGCCGCGGUAAUACGUAGGGUGCAAGCGUUAAUCGGAAUUACUGGGCGUAAAGCGUGCGAAGGCGGUUGUGUAAGACAGGCGUGAAAUCCCCGGGCUCAACCUGGGAAUUGCGCUUGUGACUGCACAGCUGGAGUGCGGCAGAGGGGGAUGGAAUUCCGCGUGUAGCAGUGAAAUGCGUAGAUAUGCGGAGGAACACCGAUGGCGAAGGCAAUCCCCUGGGCCUGCACUGACGCUCAUGCACGAAAGCGUGGGGAGCAAACAGGAUUAGAUACCCGAGUAGUCC
RNAcentral lists this ribosomal RNA (450 nucleotides) under uncultured bacterium. Its description in RNAcentral is "partial 16S ribosomal RNA". It matches the Rfam family "Bacterial small subunit ribosomal RNA", at positions 354 to 796 of the family's 1533-position model. The record is from RNAcentral.